This 354-nucleotide ribosomal RNA is filed under the name Paenibacillaceae bacterium CL7.68. RNAcentral's name for it is "bacterial SSU rRNA". It matches the Rfam family "Bacterial small subunit ribosomal RNA", at positions 94 to 440 of the family's 1533-position model. Lineage: Bacteria; Bacillati; Bacillota; Bacilli; Caryophanales; Paenibacillaceae. The record is from RNAcentral.
AGCGGCGGACGGGUGAGUAACACGUAGGUAACCUGCCUUUAAGACUGGGAUAACAAUCGGAAACGAUAGCUAAGACCGGAUACCUGGUUUUCUCGCAUGGGAGAAUCAAUAAACAYGGAGCAAUCUGUCGGCUUGAAGAUGGGCCUGCGGCGCAUUAGCUAGUUGGUGAGGUAACGGCUCACCAAGGCGACGAUGCGUAGCCGACCUGAGAGGGUGAUCGGCCACACUGGGACUGAGACACGGCCCAGACUCCUACGGGAGGCAGCAGUAGGGAAUCUUCCGCAAUGGACGCAAGUCUGACGGAGCAACGCCGCGUGAGUGAUGAAGGUUUUCGGAUCGUAAAGCUCUGUUGCC